RNAcentral lists this ribosomal RNA (223 nucleotides) under uncultured bacterium. RNAcentral's name for it is "partial 16S ribosomal RNA". It matches the Rfam family "Bacterial small subunit ribosomal RNA", at positions 28 to 258 of the family's 1533-position model. The record is from RNAcentral.
GAUGAACGUUGGCGGCGUGCCUAACACAUGCAAGUCGAACGCAAGUAGCAAUAUUUGAGUGGCGCACGGGUGAGUAACACGUAGCUUACCUCCCCCCGAGAGUGGGAUAACGGUUCGAAAGAGCUGCUAAUACCGCAUAAGCUCACGGUCUCUAGAGGGCUGUGAGAAAAGGGGAAACUCGCGUUGGGGACGGGGCUGCGGCCCAUCAGCUAGUUGGUGAGGU